RNAcentral lists this ribosomal RNA (429 nucleotides) under Gemmatimonadota bacterium. RNAcentral describes it as "Gemmatimonadetes bacterium partial 16S ribosomal RNA". It matches the Rfam family "Bacterial small subunit ribosomal RNA", at positions 355 to 776 of the family's 1533-position model. Lineage: Bacteria; Pseudomonadati; Gemmatimonadota. The record is from RNAcentral.
UAGGGAAUCUUCGGCAAUGGACGAAAGUCUGACCGAGCAACGCCGCGUGAGUGAAGAAGGUUUUCGGAUCGUAAAACUCUGUUGUUAGAGAAGAACAAGGACGUUAGUAACUGAACGUCCCCUGACGGUAUCUAACCAGAAAGCCAUGGCUAACUACGUGCCAGCAGCCGCGGUAAUACGUAGGUGGCAAGCGUUGUCCGGAUUUAUUGGGCGUAAAGCGAGCGCAGGCGGUUUCUUAAGUCUGAUGUGAAAGCCCCCGGCUCAACCGGGGAGGGUCAUUGGAAACUGGGAGACUUGCGUGCAGAAGAGGAGAGUGGAAUUCCAUGUGUAGCGGUGAAAAGCGUAGAUAUAUGGAGGAACACCAGUGGCGAAGGCGGCUCUCUGGACUGUAACUGACGCUGAGUCUCGAAAGCGUGGGGAGCAAACAGG